GUGAGAUCUGGUUGUUUAAAAGUGUGUCACCUCCUCCCUCACUCUUUUGCUCCUGCUCUGGUCUUGUGACAUGCCUGCUCACUCUUUAUCUUCUGCCAUAAUUGUAAGUUUCCUGAGGUCUCCCCAGAAGCCACACAGAUGCCAGCAUCAUGUUUCCUGUACAGCCUGAGGAACUCCCGCCAUCAGAAUAUUCCAUGAUUCAUUUACUCUUUCAUUCAACAAACGUGGAGCCAGGCAGUGCAACAAUCAGGCAAAAAUCCUGGUGGAAAGCGGAAGACCGGCAAUGAACAAUAAAUUUGCCAUGGCCCCCCGGCUUAAAUGUCAGAUAACCUGAGCAUGCCCAGAUCAACCAAGUGUGCAAACAUGCUGGUACCUGUUCUCAGACUGAGAGCAAAGACUGAAUUAAGAAGUGGACACUGGGAAGAUGCAAUGGCUCACUACUGGAAUCCCAACACUUUGGGAGGUUGAGGCAGGAGAAUCACUAGAGCCUGGGAAUUUGAGACCAGCCUGGGCAACAGAGCAAGACCUAGUCUCUACAAAAUAAAAAAUAAAAACUUAACUGGUUGUGGUGGCACACAACUAUGGCCCCAGCUACUCAAGAGGCUGAGGCAAGAGCAUCAUUUGAGCCCAGGAGGUCAAGGCUGCUGUGAGCCAUGGUCAUGCCAUGUGCUCCAACCUGGGCAACAGAGCACCACCCUGUCUCAAAAGAAAAAGGAGGAGAAGGAGAGGGAGAAGAAGAAACAGAGGAUCCAAUCAGAUCAAUCCCUGGCAUUUCCCCAUGGCAGGACCCAGUCAGAUCAUCACCUCACUGAAAGAUCCAAUCAGAUCACACCUCAUUACCUUAUGCUUAUAAAACCUGACCCAACCCCAAACUCAGAGAGACAGAUUUGAGCACUUCCUCUUGUCUUCUUGCUAGUUGACUUGCAAUAAAUCUUUCCUUUUCUCAAAAGCCAGUGGCAUGAUGUUGGCUUCUAUGUGCCUUGGGCAGUGAGCCCAUUGAUUGCUCAUUAAUAAUGUAUCCUCAAAGAGAUCACAGGGAAAGGACUCCUCCCAGAGGAAUUGAAUGAUCAGGUUGAUACUUCCUGCCAACCCCUGGGCAGUUGGCUAACCUCAAGUGAGGAAGAACCACUUCAAGUGAGAGCAGGUCAGGCCGGAAGAGAUCUUUGCAGCAUUGCCUUUUCUGGGGGUCAUUGAGUGGCAAGAGGGAAAGGAAGGGAAUGGGAAAGACCUCCUCACCCUCUCCCCAGUUACUCUGAAAUCCAAGUUUGAGAAGUUGUGUUUUGCCUCAAUCCCAGGAUACAUCAAGCAGGACACUUGACCCAAACCCCAUUCAUCUUUUAGAGCAGAACCAAAUCAUUCCUUCUUCCAUUAAACCAAUAUUUGUUGAACUCCUAUCAUGUGUCAGGAGCUGAUCUUGAUUCUCAUAGUGGAGAAAACAAAGCUUCUACCCUCAUGGAGUUUAUAUUAUUUUUGAGGAUGGAGAUGAAAAAAAAAGCUAACCUAAUAAUGUCAGGCAGUCAUAAUUACUACAAAAACAGACAAAGAAGAAUGGGGUGUAGAGAGCCCAGGGGAUCUUUUGGAUAGAGUAGUUGGCAGUGGCUUCCUGAGGAGCUGACCUUUCAGCAGAGACCAGAGUGAAGUGAGAAAACGUGCCUUGGGGGACAGAUGUCUUGGGAAGG
RNAcentral lists this long non-coding RNA (1679 nucleotides) under Homo sapiens (human). RNAcentral's name for it is "HSALNT0318483". Lineage: Eukaryota; Metazoa; Chordata; Mammalia; Primates; Hominidae. The record is from RNAcentral.